GAGUUUGAUUAUGGCUCAGAACGAACGCUGGCGGCGCGUUUUAAGCAUGCAAGUCGAACGGUAAGGGAGAGCUUGCUCUCCCCUAGAGUGGCGGACUGGUGAGUAACGCGUAGGUGACCUACCCUGAAGAUGGGGAUAGCUAGUAGAAAUAUUAGAUAAUACCGAAUAAGCUCAUUUGCAUAAAGGCAGAUGAGGAAAGGAGCUACGGCUCCGCUUUAGGAUGGGCCUGCGUCCCAUUAGCUAAGUUGGUGAGGUAAAGGCUUACCAAGGCAACGAUGGGUAUCCGGCCUGAGAGGGUGAACGGACACAUUGGGACUGAGAUACGGCCCAAACUCCUACGGGGGGCAGCAGCUAAGAAUCUUCCGCAAUGGACAAAAGUCUGACGGAGCGACGCCGUGUGAAUGAAGAAGGCUGAAAAGUUGUAAAAUUCUUUUGCAGAUGAAGAAUAAGGAUAGGAGGGAAUGCCUAUCUGAUGA
Molecule: ribosomal RNA, 476 nt
Filed under: Treponema sp. canine oral taxon 207
Lineage: Bacteria; Pseudomonadati; Spirochaetota; Spirochaetia; Treponematales; Treponemataceae
Description: bacterial SSU rRNA
Rfam family: Bacterial small subunit ribosomal RNA
Source: RNAcentral